AGCGAACGCUGGCGGCAGGCCUAACACAUGCAAGUCGAACGAUCCUUCGGGAUAGUGGCGGACGGGUGAGUAGCACGUGGGAACGUACCUUUAGGUUCGGGAUAACUCAGGGAAACUUGAGCUAAUACCGGAUAAGCCCUUUUGGGGAAAGAUUUAUCGCCUUUAGAGCGGCCCGCGUUAGAUUAGCUAGUUGGUGAGGUAAAGGCUCACCAAGGCUCCGAACUAUAGCUGGUCUGAGAGGAUGAUCAGCCACACUGGGACUGAGACACGGCCCAGACUCCUACGGGAGGCAGCAGUGGGGAAUCUUGCGCAAUGGGCGAAAGCCUGACGCAGCCAUGCCGCGUGAAUGAUGAAGGUCUUAGGAUUGUAAAAUUCUUUUAGCAGGGACGAUAAUGACGGUACCUGCAGAAAAAGCCCCGGCUAACUUCGUGCCAGCCGCCGCAGUAA
Molecule: ribosomal RNA, 447 nt
Filed under: uncultured bacterium
Lineage: Bacteria
Description: partial 16S ribosomal RNA
Rfam family: Bacterial small subunit ribosomal RNA
Source: RNAcentral